RNAcentral lists this ribosomal RNA (465 nucleotides) under Vreelandella stevensii. RNAcentral's name for it is "partial 16S ribosomal RNA". It matches the Rfam family "Bacterial small subunit ribosomal RNA", at positions 338 to 795 of the family's 1533-position model. The record is from RNAcentral. Lineage: Bacteria; Pseudomonadati; Pseudomonadota; Gammaproteobacteria; Oceanospirillales; Halomonadaceae.
CCUACGGGUGGCAGCAGUGGGGAAUAUUGGACAAUGGGCGAAAGCCUGAUCCAGCCAUGCCGCGUGUGUGAAGAAGGCCUUCGGGUUGUAAAGCACUUUCAGUGGGGAAGAAAGCCUUGGGGCUAAUACCCUCGAGGAAGGACAUCACCCACAGAAGAAGCACCGGCUAACUCCGUGCCAGCAGCCGCGGUAAUACGGAGGGUGCGCGCGUUAAUCGGAAUUACUGGGCGUAAAGCGCGCGUAGGCGGUCUGAUAAGCCGGUUGUGAAAGCCCCGGGCUCAACCUGGGAACGGCAUCCGGAACUGUCAGGCUAGAGUGCAGGAGAGGAAGGUAGAAUUCCCGGUGUAGCGGUGAAAUGCGUAGAGAUCGGGAGGAAUACCAGUGGCGAAGGCGGCCUUCUGGACUGACACUGACGCUGAGGUGCGAAAGCGUGGGUAGCAAACAGGAUUAGAUACCCGUGUAGUC